GGAGAGGUGGCAGAGUGGACAAAUGCGGCCGUUUGGAAGGCGGUUUGGUUAAUACCAGCGUGGGUUCGAAUCCCACCCUCUCCG
This 84-nucleotide transfer RNA is filed under the name Anaerolineae bacterium. RNAcentral's name for it is "tRNA-Ser". It matches the Rfam family "tRNA". Rfam says of the family: Transfer RNA (tRNA) molecules are approximately 80 nucleotides in length. The record is from RNAcentral. Lineage: Bacteria; Bacillati; Chloroflexota; Anaerolineae.